This 788-nucleotide ribosomal RNA is filed under the name uncultured bacterium. RNAcentral's name for it is "bacterial SSU rRNA". It matches the Rfam family "Bacterial small subunit ribosomal RNA", at positions 60 to 836 of the family's 1533-position model. The record is from RNAcentral.
AGUCGAGGGGCAUCAGUUUGGUUUGCUUGCAAACCAAAGCUGGCGACCGGCGCACGGGUGAGUAACACGUAUCCAACCUGCCUCAUACUCGGGGAUAGCCUUUCGAAAGAAAGAUUAAUAUCCGAUAGCAUAUAUUUCCCGCAUGGGUUUUAUAUUAAAGAAAUUCGGUAUGAGAUGGGGAUGCGUUCCAUUAGUUUGUUGGCGGGGUAACGGCCCACCAAGACUACGAUGGAUAGGGGUUCUGAGAGGAAGGUCCCCCACAUUGGAACUGAGACACGGUCCAAACUCCUACGGGAGGCAGCAGUGAGGAAUAUUGGUCAAUGGACGCGAGUCUGAACCAGCCAAGUAGCGUGAAGGAUGACUGCCCUAUGGGUUGUAAACUUCUUUUAUAUGGGAAUAAAGUGGUCCACGUGUGGAUUUUUGUAUGUACCAUAUGAAUAAGGAUCGGCUAACUCCGUGCCAGCAGCCGCGGUAAUACGGAGGAUCCGAGCGUUAUCCGGAUUUAUUGGGUUUAAAGGGAGCGUAGGCGGAUUGUUAAGUCAGUUGUGAAAGUUUGCGGCUCAACCGUAAAAUUGCAGUUGAUACUGGCAGUCUUGAGUGCAGUAGAGGUGGGCGGAAUUCGUGGUGUAGCGGUGAAAUGCUUAGAUAUCACGAAGAACUCCGAUUGCGAAGGCAGCUCACUGGAGUGUAACUGACGCUGAUGCUCGAAAGUGUGGGUAUCAAACAGGAUUAGAUACCCUGGUAGUCCACACAGUAAACGAUGAAUACUCGCUGUUUGCGAUAUACAG